UAACGUUACCAAACUGUUGCCUCGGCAGGAUCUUCUGCCCCGGGUGCGUCGCAGCCCCGGACCAAGGCGCCCGCCGGAGGAAUCAACCAAAACUCUUAUUGUAUACCCCCUCGCGGGUUUUUUUUAUAAUCUGAGCCUUCUCGGCGCCUCUCGUAGGCGUUUCGAAAAUGAAUCAAACUUUCAACAACGGAUCUCUUGGUUCUGGCAUCGAUGAAGAACGCAGCGAAAUGCGAUAAGUAAUGUGAAUUGCAGAAUUCAGUGAAUCAUCGAAUCUUUGAACGCACAUUGCGCCCGCCAGUAUUCUGCCGGGCAUGCCUGUCCGAGCGUCAUUUCAACCCUCGAACCCCUCCGGGGGGUCGGCGUUGGGGAUCGGCCUUCCUUCACGGGGGCCGUCUCCGAAAUACAGUGGCGGUCUCGCCGCAGCCUCUCCUGCGCAGUAGUUUGCACACUCGCAUCGGGAGCGCGGCGCGUCCACAGCCGUUAAACACCCAACUUUCUGAAAUGUUGACCUCGGAUCAGGUAGGAAUACCCGCUGAACUU
This 540-nucleotide ribosomal RNA is filed under the name uncultured Hypocreaceae. Its description in RNAcentral is "eukaryotic LSU rRNA". The stretch from base 176 to 329 matches the Rfam family "5.8S ribosomal RNA". Lineage: Eukaryota; Fungi; Ascomycota; Sordariomycetes; Hypocreales. The record is from RNAcentral.